GAAAAAGGUAAGGAAAUGGUUGGUUACACAAUUCACAAGUCACAACCAGCUGUCCGGGAGGUCGAUGUUCUGGAACCUGAACGACGAGUCCCUCGAGUCCUUGCCAUCGAGCCCCGGCCCGCCGCUGCUGUCGCCGUCGAGCUCGUCCGCCGCCGCCACGGAUGGAAGCAGGACCACAGGUGGCGGCUUCUCGACGUCGGCAUCCUUAGCCAGCGCCGCGGCCAGGUCGCGGUCCCACAUGAGGAAAUGCAGCGUGAUGGGGCGGAGCGCGUGGCGGUGCAGCGACAGCUUCUGGCUCAGCGACACGGUGUCGAAGCACUUGACGUUCCCGGCGGUGGACACCAUCCAGGGCAGCACCUUCUCGCCGCCGACGCGGGACACGACCAGCAGCUUGGACGCCCCGCGCGCCGCGCGGUGCAGCUCCAGCAGGCCCGACCGCGCCGACGCCACGCCCGGCGUGCCCUCCUCCGCCACCGACGAGACGUAGAUGAACCCUUCCUCGGUGCGGCUGAUGGCGAACCCCAGCCGCGUGUCUCCCGGGCACAGCCGCAGCUCCAGCGCCGCCUCGCCCGCCGCCGCCGUGUACCACAGCCGCACGGCCCGCACCACGCCGAUGUCCACGCCGUGGUAGUCCUCGAAGCCGUACAGGCUCGCGUUCGCCAUGCCGGCCAGGUCCGACAGCGACGCCAUGUUCACGGUCGACACCGCCGUCUCGCCGGAGAUCUUGGUCAGCAGCGCCUCCGUCUGCACGUUCAUGAACACCACGGGCACGCCCGAGGCCUGCGACGACAGCAGCCACGCGUCCGCGCGCGCCAGGGUGUCCUCCAGCGCGUUGUACCGCGUGUUGGACCCGUCCGUCGCCUUGGGCAGCAGCAGCAGCGAGAGGAAGCUGCUCGCCUCCGGCACCGGCAGCAGCUCCCUCAUCUUCUUCUCCCACGGGAACGGCUCGUACGCGUGGCCGAUCUUGGCGUCGCGCAGCGCAGAGAGCAGCUUGCCGUUCUUAGAACCUUAAAUCAUAGGCUCAUAGCAUAUCGAUCAGGGCAAUUGUUCAUUAAUCACUUG
This 1062-nucleotide unclassified non-coding RNA is filed under the name Zea mays. RNAcentral describes it as "misc RNA Zm00001eb097350". The record is from RNAcentral. Lineage: Eukaryota; Viridiplantae; Streptophyta; Magnoliopsida; Poales; Poaceae.